CCUAUGGGUGGCAGCAGUGAGGAAUAUUGGUCAAUGGGCGCGAGCCUGAACCAGCCAAGUAGCGUGAAGGAUGACUGCCCUACGGGUUGUAAACUUCUUUUAUAAAGGAAUAAAGUGAGGCACGUGUGCCUUUCUGUAUGUACUUUAUGAAUAAGGAUCGGCUAACUCCGUGCCAGCAGCCGCGGUAAUACGGAGGAUCCGAGCGUUAUCCGGAUUUAUUGGGUUUAAAGGGAGCGUAGAUGGGUUGUUAAGUCAGUUGUGAAAGUUUGCGGCGCAACCGUAAAAUUGCAAUUGAUACUGGCAGCCUUGAGUACAGUUGAGGUAGGCGGAAUUCGUGGUGUAGCGGUGAAAUGCUUAGAUAUCACGAAGAACUCCGAUUGCGAAGGCAGCCUACUAAACUGCCACUGACAUUGAUGCUCGAAAGUGUGGGUAUCAAACAGGAUUAGAUACCCCAGUAGUC
Molecule: ribosomal RNA, 460 nt
Filed under: uncultured bacterium
Lineage: Bacteria
Description: partial 16S ribosomal RNA
Rfam family: Bacterial small subunit ribosomal RNA
Source: RNAcentral